This 1377-nucleotide ribosomal RNA is filed under the name uncultured prokaryote. RNAcentral's name for it is "partial 16S ribosomal RNA". It matches the Rfam family "Bacterial small subunit ribosomal RNA", at positions 48 to 1397 of the family's 1533-position model. The record is from RNAcentral.
UUAACACAUGCAAGUCGAACGAGAAAGGGGACUUCGGUUCCUGAGUAAAGUGGCGCACGGGUGAGUAACGGGUAAUCUACCCUAGUGUACGGGACAACAUCGGGAAACUGGUGCUAAUACCGAAUACGCUUCUUUAGAUGCGAAUUUUUAGAAGGAAAGGUGGCCUCUUCAUGAAAGCUACUGCACAAGGAUGAGUCUGCGUACCAUUAGCUAGUUGGUGGGGUAAUGGCCUACCAAGGCUUCGAUGGUUAGCGGGUCUGAGAGGAUGAUCCGCCACACUGGCACUGGAACACGGGCCAGACUCCUACGGGAGGCAGCAGUGAGGAAUUUUGCACAAUGGGGGCAACCCUGAUGCAGCGACGCCGCGUGAGUGAUGAAGGCCCUUGGGUCGUAAAACUCUGUCAAUAGGGAAGAAGUGUCUAAUGGUUAAUACCCAUUAGAUUUGACGGUACCUAUAAAGGAAGCACCGGCUAAAUCCGUGCCAGCAGCCGCGGUAAUACGGAUGGUGCGAGCGUUGUUCGGAAUUACUGGGCGUAAAGGGCGCGUAGGCGGCCUGCCAAGUCAGAUGUGAAAGCCCACGGCUCAACCGUGGAAGUGCAUCUGAAACUGGUAGGCUUGAGUACUGGAGAGGAAAGUGGAAUUCCUGGUGUAGAGGUGAAAUUCGUAGAUAUCAGGAGGAAUACCGGUGGCGAAGGCGACUUUCUGGACCAACACUGACACUCAGACUCGAAGGCGUGGGGAGCGAACAGGAUUAGAUACCCUGGUAGUCCACGCAGUAAACGUUGACAACUAGGUGUCGCGGGUAUUGACCCCUGCGGUGCCGGAGCUAACGCAUUAAGUUGUCCGCCUGGGGAGUACGGCCGCAAGGUUAAAACUCAAAUGAAUUGACGGGGGCCCGCACAAGCGGUGGAGCAUGUGGUUUAAUUCGAUGCAACGCGAAGAACCUUACCAGGGCUUGACAUCCCGAGAAUUUAAACUUACUAGAGAUAGUUUGGUGCCUUCGGGAACGCAGUGACAGGUGCUGCAUGGCUGUCGUCAGCUCGUGUCGUGAGAUGUUGGGUUAAGUCCCGUAACGAGCGCAACCCUUGUCCUUAGUUGCCAGCACGUAAUGGUGGGAACUCUAAGGAGACUGCCGGUGACAACCGGAGGAAGGUGGGGACGACGUCAAGUCAUCAUGGCCCUUACGACCUGGGCUACACACGUGCUACAAUGGUCGGUACAGAGGGUUGCCAAGCCGCGAGGUGGAGCUAAUCCCAGAAAACCGAUCGUAGUCCGGAUUGGAGUCUGCAACUCGACUCCAUGAAGUCGGAAUCGCUAGUAAUCGCGAAUCAGAAUGUCGCGGUGAAUACGUUCCCGGGCCUUGUACACAUCGCCCGU